UGUUGUCAGACUCAGCCCACAAACAAACCUUCUGAGUCCAGGAUCAAAGCUUCGAGCUUUGGAAAAGAGUCGAGGGAAACAGACAUGGCGGCUAACUGCGCGAGGCGAACCCUACAAUUCUCUUCAGCUUCUGCAAAAACCCUUCUGUCCCGUUCGCCGUCUUCACCUUUCGCUUCCAAAGCUUCCAAGCUAACCGAACUCACUUCCCUCGAGCCCGCUUCUGCUCCUCGACUCGCUGCCCAGAAGCUUAAGUUCUCAAGGCUUCCGGUGGGGUUGGGCGGUGCGCAGUCGUUGAUCCCGUUGCACAGUGCUACCGCUUCUGCCUUGUUGACGUCGCUCCUGUCUUUGCACAACACCAGCUGGGGGUGCCUAUCAGAAGGUUUCGCUACUCCACUAUAGCAUGGCCCGAGCUGUUUCUAGGUACACACGGGAUCGCGGAGUUUGUUUCUUUACAGACUGUAGUUACGAUGACCUGACAUUCUGCAUGUCCUCGUUCGAAAUUUUGAAGACAAGAGAUCGGGAAUAUCUUGUUACAACUCUGCAACUAGCUUACUGUUGUUUUUGGAACAAUUGGUAAAUCGGCUGUUAUGCUUAUUGGUUUUAUUGGCAAUAAUGUUUGCAAUACAUUAUUGUAUCAUGACAAACAGAAUCUCUGAACUUCCCGACAUGGUCGAUUUCCUUAGAGCUCGUUUGAUUGCCA
This is an RNA transcript of Pyrus x bretschneideri (Chinese white pear), 700 nucleotides long. RefSeq lists it as uncharacterized. The record is from RefSeq and is a predicted model, not a curated record. Lineage: Eukaryota; Viridiplantae; Streptophyta; Magnoliopsida; Rosales; Rosaceae. The transcript has 4 exons.